UCGAAAUAAACCUGAGCAGGCUGUUGCUAGUCCUAGACAUGUGCACGCCUGUCAUCUUUAUUUUUUUUUUUCCAACUGUGCACUUGUUGUAGACCUGGUUAUUAUUAUUGUUGGGAUAGAUUGAGGACUGCUGUGCUUCAUUGAGCAGCUUUGCCUUGCAUUUUCCAGGUCUAUGUCUUUUUACAUUUUUACAAAAUGGUGUUUUUGAAUGUGGGGAUAACAAAUAUA
Molecule: unclassified non-coding RNA, 228 nt
Filed under: uncultured Agaricales
Lineage: Eukaryota; Fungi; Basidiomycota; Agaricomycetes; Agaricales
Description: sequence contains ITS1
Source: RNAcentral